AUGGAGGACUGGAGAAGUUUAUACUGUGUCAGGCUUUUCAGAGUUGUAUGACAACUUCGAAGUGGUACCACGACCUCGCUAAAAACAAACAAACAAAAAAAUACAAAACAAUGCAUGGCGCAAAGUUAGCAUCGAGAUGGGGCUACCAGCUUUUGAGAAGAUUCACAGGUUGAUGCAUG
Long non-coding RNA from Megalops cyprinoides (Indo-Pacific tarpon), 179 nucleotides. RefSeq lists it as uncharacterized. The transcript is spliced from 2 exons. The record is from RefSeq and is a predicted model, not a curated record. NCBI's taxonomy places the organism in Eukaryota, Metazoa, Chordata, Actinopteri, Elopiformes, Megalopidae.